GUCACAUCCUUCUGGGCGAGUGUGUUUUAGAGGACAUUUGAAUAAAAGGCUGAAUGCCAGGUAUGGGUGACAUGGUGGGUGGAAACUUCACCUCCUUACAAAGCCGUGGCAGCCCCUAUUUGCAUAAGGUCAGGGGAGAGCUUCUGCUAGAACUUUGCCAGCAUCCCUGUCUCUUAGCAACCCUCCUGCUCUCUUGGUCUGGGUUUCCACUGGGCUGGUCUUCUUCUUUUCUUCUUUUCAAAGGCAGGCUUACAAUCAAAGUCACCCUUCCCAACCUGUGCCUGUCACCCAAACAGGUGACAGGAACAAAGAAACCGCAUUCUGAGUGACAGCACCAUCUCUUCUGAAUUUCCAGCCUAAUUCUUUCUCAACUGCCAUGGUAUUCCCCGAUCAACGAAACCCACCUGUCUCCCUUCCCAGUGUUGGCAGCUGGAAUCAGAGGAGUUCCAUGCACCUAGGGAGAGGAAAGGAGGGGCUUCUCUUUCAUCUUCCAGACUCUGGAUUGGUCCUAUCAGGAGAGAACUGCAUUCAGAAAACAAAGGGGAAAUUUAGAGAACUGAAUGUGUGUACCUGGGUGUCCCCCAAUGGCUUUGAUAGAAUGUGGACACAUGAUACCCAUCUAGACACAAUCUAAUGCAUGUCUGUCUGAUUAAAAAUGAACCUGGAUUUUUCCAUUGUGUUCAGAGAGCACACUUAGGAUUACACACACUUAGGAGUCUACUCAACCAAGGCACCUGCUGCGUCUUCUUUUUCUGCUGCUCCCUUAGGGGAAAUGCAGUGUUGGCCCUAUAGGCUCUGGCUACCCUUACCCUGAUGUUAGGAAAGUGUGAAGGCAAGAGGAGAAGGGGAAAACAGAGGAUGAGAUGGCUGGACAGUGUCACCGAAGCGACCGACAUGAAUUUGACCCAACUCCAGGAGACAGUGCAAGACAGGAGGGCCUGGCGUGCUCUGGUCCAUGGGGUCACAAAGAGUCAGACAUGACUUAAUGACUAAACAACAAAAAACACCCUUAGCCAGUCCAUGUUCCCCCAACUCCUUACCAGUAUGCCUUUUCUGCCCAAUUUGCCAUAGUGUCUCAACUAAACAAAAGUCUGGAAAAGUCUAAGGUAUGAUAGA
Molecule: long non-coding RNA, 1116 nt
Filed under: Pogona vitticeps (central bearded dragon)
Lineage: Eukaryota; Metazoa; Chordata; Lepidosauria; Squamata; Agamidae
Description: lncRNA (ENSPVIG00000004475.1)
Source: RNAcentral